UGGUGGUCGUGCUUGCACAGUAUAGGAAAAAGCAACACACAGGCUAGUGCAUUUUCCUACAUUGUGCAAGCACGACCACCACUGAUGGAUUGCAGGGUGGUCUGUUACCAUGGAAACGAGCAGUGUAUAAUGUGAU
Molecule: long non-coding RNA, 136 nt
Organism: Bufo bufo (common toad)
Lineage: Eukaryota; Metazoa; Chordata; Amphibia; Anura; Bufonidae
Exons: 2
Source: RefSeq, a predicted model, not a curated record